UACAUGUGGGGCGAGCGUUGUUCGGAAUCACUGGGCAUAAAGGGUGCGUAGGCGGCAUAGUAAGUCGGUGGUGAAAUCCCGCGGCCUAACCGCGGAACUGCCAUUGAUACUGCUGUGCUUGAGUGCGUGAGGGGUGGCUGGAACGAGUGGUGUAGCGGUGAAAUGCGUAGAUAUCACUCGGAACGCCAACGCUGAAGAGAGGCCACUGGCACGCAACUGACGCUGAGGCACGAAAGCGUGGGGAGCAAACAGG
Molecule: ribosomal RNA, 253 nt
Filed under: uncultured bacterium
Lineage: Bacteria
Description: partial 16S ribosomal RNA
Rfam family: Bacterial small subunit ribosomal RNA
Source: RNAcentral